GACGAACGCUGGCGGCGUGCUUAACACAUGCAAGUCGAACGGACAGGCCCUGCUCUUGCUGGGUGCUCGAUUGGCGCACGGGUGAGUAACACGCGUGUAACCUGUCCCUGUCUUUGGGAUAACUUCAGGAAACUGGGGCUAAUAUCGGAUAGGAUCUCCUGCUGCAUGGUGGGGGUUGGUAAGUUUCGGCUGUUGGGGAUGGACUCGCGGCUUAUCAGCUUGUUGGUGGGGUAGUGGCUUACCAAGGUUUUGACGGGUAGCCGGCCUGGGAGGGUGACCGGCCACAUUAGGACUGAGAUACGGCCCAGAAUCCUACGGGAGGCAGCGGUGGAGAGUAUUGCAGAAUGGGCGGAAGCCUGAGACAGCGGCGCCGCGUGCGGAAUGACGGCCUUCGGGUUAAGAACCGCUUUCGCAUGUGACGAGGCGUGAGUGACGGUAAUGGGUAAAAAAGCACCGGCUAACUACGUG
This 468-nucleotide ribosomal RNA is filed under the name uncultured bacterium. Its description in RNAcentral is "partial 16S ribosomal RNA". It matches the Rfam family "Bacterial small subunit ribosomal RNA", at positions 28 to 507 of the family's 1533-position model. The record is from RNAcentral.